GGCAAUGCGCGUCCCUUAUCUCUUAAACGGUCUGAUCCUUCUCCACUUGAGUAACUCUUCCAUAGUUACCGUUUCACUUGUGCAAGGUAAGUUUAGGUUGCGGCUUGGAUGGUACGGACUGUACGGCUUGUACGGCCUUGUACGGACGUCCGUACCAUGCUCUCCCUAAACUCCCUUAAGCUUCCUCAUCUCCUUUCCUCUUCAACUCCUUAGCUCUUCAUACAUAUACUCAGCUCAACUCAACACUCCCCCUCAAGCUUAGCUUUGUGAAAGCUUAAGC
Molecule: long non-coding RNA, 280 nt
Filed under: Brassica rapa (field mustard)
Lineage: Eukaryota; Viridiplantae; Streptophyta; Magnoliopsida; Brassicales; Brassicaceae
Description: long non-coding RNA (BRAP_LNC008636)
Source: RNAcentral